CCUUGAAGAUUUCCAGGGAUGGGAAAUCUACCACCUCUCUGGGCAACCUGUGCCAGGAUUUCACCACCCUCAUUGUGACAAAUUUGGCCUUGUUGAACUUAAUAAGGGUCACAUGGGCCCACUUCUCUUGUUAGCCCAGAGAGUUGUCAAAAGAGUUCACUUUUCUCAAUAGAGAUUGCUGUCAGGCCAUUGUAUCUUUAAUGCUAUUAAGACUGCACUCCAAGCACUGAAAAUGUUCAAAUAUGAUCUUAAUUGGUAAAUAUAAGUGGAAACCUGUGCAUUCCUGUGAAAUCAUCGUGUUCAUACAAACCUUGGUCAGAACGGUGGGAUAUGACAACUCUUUGUCCAAGUGAAGUUUUAAGCUGAUGCAGAAAUAGUGCUUAUUGUAUUGGUUUUCAUUACAGAAUUUAGCAUAUUUCCAGAUCUGAGAAUAGUUACUCUGUCAUUAAAUAUAAUUAUUUUGUUGGCAAUAGGACUGGUAUUAAGUUUUUUUAUUUUCCUUCCUUUGCUUUCUUCAGUUACAUGUUACAAACCACUCCAAAGGAUGUAAAGAAAGGUAAAAUUAGAGCUUGAAUGUUCCUUUGAAGGUAUUGUAAGAUUGCACAAGACUUUCAAGAUGCAGCCCAGCCCCUAAGUGAUAUUUCCGUGUCAGUUAUCUGAGACAGCAGGGAUUAUGUGUAGAAUUUUGGUUAAGAAUGUCAUUCAGCUGUUGUCAAACGGAAGUACUGGAGAAACAGUUUUGCUAAGUAUAAAUGUGACCAUUGUUUUCCUCCAGGUUUUUUUUUUUUGCUUUGGAAGAAAUAAUAUCAUUUCUAUUUGUGAAACGGGCAAGGUGAAAACUUGAUAUUUGCAUUUUGCUUGAGUGAUGUGCUUGGAAAUUUUCUAGCCUGCAGCAUUAGUCUGUGGCAGAUCCCUCAAGAAAACAAAAGCACUGAAGGGUGACAAAAUGAGAAUCUACACAAGAGCAUUCAUUUGGAAAUGUAGUCAGUGGGUUAAUGUCCUACCAACUUUUCUAAAUCUGUGCUCCUGCAGUGCUUCUGGACAGGAAUCCAAUUCAGAUGUACGGAGUACAUUUUGAGAGCUGCUCUUUAUCAAAUUUUAAUGUGCUGUUCUAACUGUAUCUCACUCGUUUUGCCUGCAAAUGAUGGAGGGUGUCCAACCCAGAUGCUGAAUAUAGCUCAGAAGAGUAAUUAUUAAGGAUCUUGCCCUGCCAUAAAAUUUAACUUACAGAAACCUAGUAGCAUUACAUACUGCAAGCUCUGCACUGCAUAAAACCGAAUAAAGAUUUUUGUUUUCCUGACCACCCAUUUCAGGCACUGGAAGCUGCUGCUUGUCGAAAGACGGCUCGUUUCUCUUGUGUCCUGACAUGUGAGUCUUUGGGUCGUGUAACCAGCACAUGUGAGGUCACACAAUAGGAGAGGAACUCUGCUGGCACCCACGGAGGCAAAUUUUUCUUACUGCCGGGCUCUUUUUGCACAAGACCUGACCAGUUCUGUCUGUUGUGUGACGCCCGAUAAUCAAGGUCAACCUUGGAAGGGGAUGGAGUAAAGCAGCGUCAGGUGCUGCUCCUUCGUGAGGGCCACGAAUGCUGCCUGGGACUUGGCACGUGUGCUCCAAGGAAAGUAUUUUUCAUGUGUCGACGCGUCAAUAAAAUAGAAUAUUGGAACAAAUCUGAGCUGUGUGUUGUGUAAAUUCUCUUCUGUUCUAGUUAUGCAAGAGAAGCCUUCUGAAAACGAGGUAGGACCAUGUUUCCUCUAUCAGAAGGGUUCUGGAAUGCCCUUGGUACAAAAACGUUCUCCUGCUCAUAUGAAACAAGCCGCGUUCCAAUGAGUGACACAAACACGGGCCCUGGAGAGCAUCUCCGAGGAGCAGGCAGCACCUUCUGCCCUGAGACAAGGACCACCCCAGCUGGAAGCUCAGGCUGAACCCUGGGGCAGGUGGCUACCAGAAAUCUCAUCCCCGAGUCCACAGGGGAGCUGGACACCGAAUCCACCAAAGAUAGAGAGACCAGGAGUUUAUGUACCGGCUUGUCCAGUGGGUCCCAGGAGGGACAGGAGGAACAUCCUUCCCUGCUGCCUGAUGGGUUGGGCUGUAUUUUAGCCAAAAAACAGAAGAACACGGGAGAAUUUCAAUAAGCUAACACCAGUGGUAUUUAGGCACCAAAUCCCUCUCUGUAUUUUUGACAGUCUCCCCUUAUCUGAGCACAUUCACACUUCAACCACUGAGAAAUAAAAUGUUGCUUCCCACA
Calidris pugnax (ruff) is the source of this 2248-nucleotide long non-coding RNA. RefSeq lists it as uncharacterized. Lineage: Eukaryota; Metazoa; Chordata; Aves; Charadriiformes; Scolopacidae. The record is from RefSeq and is a predicted model, not a curated record. The transcript is spliced from 2 exons.